RNAcentral lists this transfer RNA (77 nucleotides) under Candidatus Bathyarchaeota archaeon. Its description in RNAcentral is "tRNA-Asn". It matches the Rfam family "tRNA". From Rfam's summary of the family: Transfer RNA (tRNA) molecules are approximately 80 nucleotides in length. Their secondary structure includes four short double-helical elements and three loops (D, anti-codon, and T loops). Further hydrogen bonds mediate the characteristic L-shaped molecular structure. tRNAs have two regions of fundamental functional importance: the anti-codon, which is responsible for specific mRNA codon recognition, and the 3' end, to which the tRNAs corresponding amino acid is attached (by aminoacyl-tRNA synthetases). tRNAs cope with the degeneracy of the genetic code in two manners: having more than one tRNA (with a specific anti-codon) for a particular amino acid; and 'wobble' base-pairing, i.e. permitting non-standard base-pairing at the 3rd anti-codon position. RNAcentral also lists the same sequence under 4 other names. Lineage: Archaea; Thermoproteati; Candidatus Bathyarchaeota. The record is from RNAcentral.
GCCGCCGUAGCUCAGCUAGGUAGAGCGGCUGGCUGUUAACCAGUCGGUCGUAGGUUCGAGUCCUACCGGCGGCGCCA